This is an RNA transcript of Sinocyclocheilus grahami, 1391 nucleotides long. It is a transcript of the gene named heparan sulfate (glucosamine) 3-O-sulfotransferase 1, with no coding region annotated. The record is from RefSeq and is a predicted model, not a curated record. NCBI's taxonomy places the organism in Eukaryota, Metazoa, Chordata, Actinopteri, Cypriniformes, Cyprinidae. The transcript has 4 exons.
AGUGUGUGUGUGUGUGAGUGUGUGUGUGUGUGUGUUCGCGGAGGAUCCUCCAGAUGGUCUUCUCUUAACUAAGGAGUUUCUCGUGAUGGAUCCGAUCGGCAGAGGCGUGUGAGCGCUCAUGCGUGUGCGUGUUAGUCGUGUUGAUGGCCUCCGUUAUCGUCGCUCUGCUGUUGUUCGUCACACAAUCCCCUUCGCUCGCCACCGCUGACCCCCCCGCCAACGCCUCGCGCCGCCUGCCCGACAUCAUCAUCAUCGGCGUGAGGAAGGCCGGCACGCGCGCUCUCAUCGAGAUGCUGAGUCUCCACUCGGACGUCGCCGCGGCUCAGAGCGAGGUGCACUUCUUCGACUGGGACAGUCACUACCGGCGCGGCGCGGACUGGUACGUGUCCCAGAUGCCGCUCGCUCGCUCGGGUCAGCUGACGGUGGAGAAAACCCCGGCGUACUUCACCUCCGCCCGCGUUCCUGAGCGCAUCCGACGGAUGAAUCCCGACGCGCGGCUGUUGCUGAUCGUCCGCGAGCCGACCGAGCGACUGCUGUCCGAUUACACGCAGGUCUUCCACAACCGUCUGGAGAAACGCAAGCGGCAGCAGACGCUCGAGACUCUGCUGAUGCGCGACGGAGAGCUCAACCUGGACUACAAGGCCUUGAACCGCAGUCUGUAUCACGUCCACAUGCGGCGCUGGCUCGACGUGUUUCCCAGGAGCCGCGUUCAUCUGGUGGACGGAGACGCGCUGAUUAGAAACCCUCUUCCGGAGAUGAAGAAGGUGGAGGAGUUCCUUCAUCUGGAGCCGCAGAUAAACUCCUCCAACUUCUACUUCAACCAGACCAAGGGCUUCUUCUGUCUGCGCGAGCGCCGGCGCGAGCGAUGCCUGCACGGCUCUAAAGGCCGCAAGCAUCCGCGCGUGGCGCCCGCAAUCCUGCGCAAACUCCACCGCUUCUUUCACGAACCCAACCGAGAGUUCUUCCAGCUGGUCGGAAGAACCUUCGACUGGAAGUGAGAAGCGUGUGAACGAGUCAAAUAAGCUGAAAACACAGAAGAAUUGCUCCUGAACUAACUGGAACAUCUCGAAAGCCGUAACAUGAAACAACCCGUAAUGUGAUGAGUCUGUUUUCAGAGGUGAAGUGAGCUUUUCUUAUGAUUAAGAGAUUAUGAAGUUUAGUUUUUGACGAAUCGUUCACAGUAAGAUCAGGAUUAGUGGAUGUGAAUGGAGUUCGCUUUCAGAGCUGUUAACAAACCUUAUAUUCACAUAUACAGACAUAUGCAUGUGAAAUACAUCUGUUUAUACGUUAAUGCGUGACAGUAAUCAUCCAAAUACUGUUUUCCUGCUGCUAAGUUUAUGAAUGUGUGUGUGUGUGUUUGUCUUUAUAUCAGUCUGUGUUACAGAAAAGUU